AUUCGGUUCGAGCUCUAGUCCACGAUACCUGUUUAAAGUGUAUCAACGUGCUUGUCACGUGAAGUCAUUGCCUUCUCACUUCUCAGAGUACGAAACCUCUAUCGUUAGCGUCCGCUACAAGCGACUUCUAUUUCGAUCGGAGAUUUGCUUCCUCAACGUUUGUUUCUUUCUUCCCUGUACUUCCUUUGUUACCAAACAUUGGAUGAGAAAAAGAAAACCCUAGAGAACUGUGAUUUGUUCGAUUGAAGGAAGAAUUUCAGUUAGCGCAAGUGUUUCGCCAAUUGAAGUUCUCCUCUCGACUCCUUUAAUUCGACCAAUCUCAGUUGUCUAAGUUUUCGUUUCCGAUUUUUCGGCUUGAUUCUUCAAUCUGUUCCAAAGCGGAAAAAGUCCAACACGAAGUGAGAAAAUGGACGCCAUAGAUACAGAGUUCGAUCCGGCCUAGGAGAGCUUUCGCCUCGUCAAGAAGUGCCACAAGCUGAUCGCAAAGGGUAGAAUUCGCGAAGGUGACAUUUCUCACGGAUUUAGGAUUCGUGGUGAUGGGAUUCAUCGGGUUCUUAAUGAAGCUUAUCUUCAUCCCUGUCAACAUCCUCGUUGGAUCUGGCUAAUGAAGCAGAUGUGUGCAUCAAUCUCUCAUUGUAAAUAUGAGUUGCUUCUCAAACAAUGACCUCACAAUUUCAUGAAGCGGUAAGGGCCACACGAGGAGUGCAAUGCAAGCUUGGAAUGGUCAGCGAGGUUUGAUAUGCAUGGUUUAUGGAAGACGCAGAAUCCACGGCAUCCAGUGUGGGGGAAUGGCAUUGCGAUCGGCUACUAAGGGGACUCAGCCAGCCGGCCCAGCCUCAGCUAAUCAUAAAGUUUGUCUUUGGUGUCUACACAGAGAAGUGAUGGCAUAAUUCCAAGUGCCAUAGCAAGAGGUUACAGGAACUUGAUCUUUGGUCCAGAUCCCAUCAACCAGGUCAGGUUGGAACGGGCUAAAUAACAUUAGGGACUUUUGAGACAAUGGCUUUUAAUUGCCGUCACGCAGUUAUGCUUAUUGAAAAGAAGAAAAAGAUCAAAGGUAAAAUUUAGGAAUUUAGAAACAGAAAGUAAUAUUAUAAGAAAACGGGGGUCAGCCAAUUAAGAUA
Molecule: long non-coding RNA, 1121 nt
Organism: Tripterygium wilfordii
Lineage: Eukaryota; Viridiplantae; Streptophyta; Magnoliopsida; Celastrales; Celastraceae
Exons: 6
Source: RefSeq, a predicted model, not a curated record